UUUCCUGUGGCUCAGUCAGUAGAACACAGUGCUAUCAAAGCCCAGAUUUUGGAUUCAAAUCCCAGCAAGAAAU
Molecule: non-coding RNA, 73 nt
Organism: Danionella cerebrum
Lineage: Eukaryota; Metazoa; Chordata; Actinopteri; Cypriniformes; Danionidae
Source: the annotation of a GenBank genome assembly